Molecule: ribosomal RNA, 784 nt
Filed under: Ericrocis lata
Lineage: Eukaryota; Metazoa; Arthropoda; Insecta; Hymenoptera; Apidae
Also listed under: 3 other names
Description: SSU rRNA
Rfam family: Eukaryotic small subunit ribosomal RNA
Source: RNAcentral
CGGGGAGGUAGUGACGAAAAAUAACGAUACGGGACUCAUCCGAGGCCCCGUAAUCGGAAUGAGUACACUUUAAAUCCUUUAACGAGGACCAAUUGGAGGGCAAGUCUGGUGCCAGCAGCCGCGGUAAUUCCAGCUCCAAUAGCGUAUAUUAAAGUUGUUGCGGUUAAAAAGCUCGUAGUUGAAUCUGUGUGUCACAGUGUCGGUUCACCGCUCGCGGUGUUUAACUGGCAUUAUGUGGUACGUCCUACCGGUGGGCUUAGCUCCUCGCGGGCGGUCCAACUAAUAUCCCAUCGCGGUGCUCUUCAUUGAGUGUCGAGGUGGGCCGGUACGUUUACUUUGAACAAAUUAGAGUGCUCAAAGCAGGCUACCUUCGCCUGAAUACUGUGUGCAUGGAAUAAUGGAAUAGGACCUCGGUUCUAUUUUGUUGGUUUUCGGAACCCCGAGGUAAUGAUUAAUAGGGACAGAUGGGGGCAUUCGUAUUGCGACGUUAGAGGUGAAAUUCUUGGAUCGUCGCAAGACGGACAGAAGCGAAAGCAUUUGCCAAAAAUGUUUUCAUUAAUCAAGAACGAAAGUUAGAGGUUCGAAGGCGAUCAGAUACCGCCCUAGUUCUAACCAUAAACGAUGCCAGCUAGCGAUCCGCCGAAGUUCCUCCGAUGACUCGGCGGGCAGCUUCCGGGAAACCAAAGCUUUUGGGUUCCGGGGGAAGUAUGGUUGCAAAGCUGAAACUUAAAGGAAUUGACGGAAGGGCACCACCAGGAGUGGAGCCUGCGGCUUAAUUUGACUC